Erinaceus europaeus (western European hedgehog) is the source of this 706-nucleotide long non-coding RNA. RefSeq lists it as uncharacterized. Lineage: Eukaryota; Metazoa; Chordata; Mammalia; Eulipotyphla; Erinaceidae. The record is from RefSeq and is a predicted model, not a curated record. The transcript has 3 exons.
UAGAGCAGGAGGGUAUGCUGCCUAUCAUUUUGUUAACUCUGAACUCAUGUUUUUCAGGUGAAGAAAUUAAAUAUCACCAACCUGAAAGCAACCCAGGUGUCCAACAACAGAUGAAUGACUUAGAAAGUUGUGCUAUAUAUACACAACGGACGUUAAAAAUGAUGGAGUCACCUUUUUCAUCUCAUCUUGGAUGGAGCUUGAAAGAAACAUAUUAAGUCAUUGUGGGAGUUGGCUGAAAAAGCAAUAAUCCAUAAGGAGAAACCAGUCCGUCUCAAUUUGGGGUGGAGCGGAGAAGGAGGAAGGGGACACCCACCUAGCCAGCCAGACCAGUGGAAUCAAUCCUGACCAUAAUGGGGUGACAGAUGUUGCAACCAGAUCGCCCUCACAUCCGAAAUGACACUUUGGAAUGAAGACUACUGGACCUGAAGUCACUCAAAGCCCUGCCAGCUCUUAAGGAACUUUCACCAUCCUCCUUAACUUCCUAGAAUGAAAACUGUGAGUCUUACCCAAGCUCAAAGUUAUGACUUAAAAUAAACUUUUUAUUAGAGGAAUUUAUCCAUAUAACAGGCAAAGUACUUACUACACUGCUUCUGUUAUCAUUUUGUAAGUCACCCCUCUUCUUCAAGUGAGUACUCCUCUCUCCUUAAAAUCCUAUACCUAUAUCUCAUUUCUUUUUUAGUGUUUUAUUUAUUUUAUUUAGAGAGAG